GACGAACGCUGGCGGCGUGCUUAACACAUGCAAGUCGAACGGUGAGGCCCUGCUUUUGUGGGGUGCUCGAGUGGCGAACGGGUGAGUAACACGUGAGUAACCUGCCCUUGACUUUGGGAUAACUUCAGGAAACUGGGGCUAAUACCGGAUAGGAGCUCCUGCUGCAUGGUGGGGGGUGGAAAGUUUCGGCGGUUGGGGAUGGACUCGCGGCUUAUCAGCUUGUUGGUGGGGUAGUGGCUUACCAAGGCGUUGACGGGUAGCCGGCCUGAGAGGGUGACCGGCCACAUUGGGACUGAGAUACGGCACAGACUCCUACGGGAGGCAGCAGUGGGGAAUAUUGCAGAAUGGGCGGCAGCCUGAUGCAGCAAGGCCGCGUGCGGGAUGACGGCCUUCGGGUUGUAAACCGCUUUCGCCUGUGACGAAGCGUGAGUGACGGUAAUGGGUAAAGAAGCACCGGCUAACUACGUG
Molecule: ribosomal RNA, 468 nt
Filed under: uncultured bacterium
Lineage: Bacteria
Description: partial 16S ribosomal RNA
Rfam family: Bacterial small subunit ribosomal RNA
Source: RNAcentral